UGCAGUCGGACGGCAGCACGGACUUCGGUCUGGUGGCGAGUGGCGAACGGGUGAGUAAUGCAUUGGAACGUACCGAGUAGUGGGGGAUAACUAGUCGAAAGAUUAGCUAAUACCGCAUACGCAUUGAGAUGGAAAGCGGGGGAUCUUAGGACCUCGCGCUAUUUGAGCGGCCAAUGUCUGAUUAGCUAGUUGGUGGGGUAAAGGCCUACCAAGGCGACGAUCAGUAGCGGGUCUGAGAGGAUGAUCCGCCACACUGGGACUGAGACACGGCCCAGACUCCUACGGGAGGCAGCAGUGGGGAAUUUUGGACAAUGGGCGAAAGCCUGAUCCAGCCAUGCCGCGUGUCUGAAGAAGGCCUUCGGGUUGUAAAGGACUUUUGUCAGGGAAGAAAAGGUGAUUGCUAAUAUCAGUCGCUGAUGACGGUACCUGAAGAAUAAGCACCGGCUAACUACGUGCCAGCAGCCGCGGUAAUACGUAGGGUGCGAGCGUUAAUCGGAAUUACUGGGCGUAAAGCGAGCGCAGACGGUUUGUUAAGCAGGAUGUGAAAUCCCCGAGCUCAACUUGGGAACGGCGUUCUGAACUGGCAAGCUAGAGUAUGUCAGAGGGGGGUAGAAUUCCACGUGUAGCAGUGAAAUGCGU
RNAcentral lists this ribosomal RNA (639 nucleotides) under uncultured bacterium. RNAcentral describes it as "bacterial SSU rRNA". It matches the Rfam family "Bacterial small subunit ribosomal RNA", at positions 56 to 691 of the family's 1533-position model. The record is from RNAcentral.